GCAUCAUUGGCCGAGUGACUAGGCAGAGGCUUGCAAACCCUCGCAGCAUGGUUAAAAUCCAUGAUGGUGCU
Molecule: transfer RNA, 71 nt
Filed under: Klebsiella phage vB_Kpn_IME260
Lineage: Duplodnaviria; Heunggongvirae; Uroviricota; Caudoviricetes; Demerecviridae
Also listed under: 6 other names
Description: tRNA-Cys
Rfam family: tRNA
About the family: Transfer RNA (tRNA) molecules are approximately 80 nucleotides in length. Their secondary structure includes four short double-helical elements and three loops (D, anti-codon, and T loops).
Source: RNAcentral